Octopus sinensis (East Asian common octopus) is the source of this 297-nucleotide long non-coding RNA. RefSeq lists it as uncharacterized. The record is from RefSeq and is a predicted model, not a curated record. The transcript is spliced from 3 exons. Lineage: Eukaryota; Metazoa; Mollusca; Cephalopoda; Octopoda; Octopodidae.
AUUCUGAUAUAGAUUGAUACUGUGUCUACUGGGGGUUUGUAUUGUUUGUCAAGUCACAGCAAGGACCUCAGACAGACAGUACUUUAUGCGAUAUGCGUGCAGUUUUAAGUAAUGCCGACUUUUGCAAUACCUCUAGAUUGUAGGGUAUCUCUAAGGUUUUCAGAUGUUUUUUCAGAUUGGGUGGUAUUGAACCCAAUACUCCGAUGACAAUAGGGAUAACCUUUAUGUUCGUCUCUCGUAGCUGUCACAUUUUAGUGAUCUCACUUCUCAGGUCUCCAUAUUUAUCAACCUUUUCUU